RNAcentral lists this ribosomal RNA (436 nucleotides) under Hyalodon antui. RNAcentral describes it as "LSU rRNA". It matches the Rfam family "Eukaryotic large subunit ribosomal RNA", at positions 462 to 879 of the family's 3401-position model. Lineage: Eukaryota; Fungi; Basidiomycota; Agaricomycetes; Auriculariales; Hyaloriaceae. The record is from RNAcentral.
CGGGCUUUGCCCGGCGCACUUCUCGGUGGAUGGGCCAGCAUCGAUUUCGGCUGCNGGAAAAGGGCGAGGGGAAGGUGGCACCUCCGGGUGUGUUAUAGCCCCUCGUCGUAUACGGUGGCUGGGAUCGAGGUUCGCAGCACGCCUUUAUGGUCGGGGUUCGCCCACGCCACGUGCUUAGGAUGCUGGCGUAAUGGCUUUAAACGACCCGUCUUGAAACACGGACCAAGGAGUCUAACAUGCCUGCGAGUGUUUGGGUGGAAAACCCAGGCGCGUAAUGAAAGUGAAAGGUUGGGACUCCCCUAAACAAGGAGGCACCGACGCCCGAUCCUGACCUUCUGUGACGGAUUUGAGGCAGAGCAUGUAUGUUGGGACCCGAAAGAUGGUGAACUAUGCCUGAAUAGGGCGAAGCCAGAGGAAACUCUGGUGGAGGCUCGUA